Molecule: ribosomal RNA, 512 nt
Filed under: uncultured bacterium
Lineage: Bacteria
Description: partial 16S ribosomal RNA
Rfam family: Bacterial small subunit ribosomal RNA
Source: RNAcentral
GAUGAACGCUGGCGGCGUGCUUAAUACAUGCAAGUCGAACGAAUUGAAGAUGUGCUUGCACAUCUGAUGUUAGUGGCGAACGGGUGAGUAAUACAUAGGCAACUUGCCCCAAGGACUGGGAUAACACUUAGAAAUGAGUGCUAAUACCGGAUAGGUAAUACAAAGGCAUCUUAGUAUUAUUAAAGUUGGGUACCCAACACCAUGGGAUGGGCUUAUGCUGUAUUAGCUAGUUGGUGAGAUAAAAGCCCACCAAGGCGAUGAUACAUAGCUGGUCUGAGAGGAUGAACAGCCACAUUGGGACUGAGACACGGCCCAGACUCCUACGGGAGGCAGCAGUAAGGAAUUUUCGGCAAUGGAGGAAGCUCUGACCGAGCAACGCCGCGUGAGUGAUGAAGGCCUUCGGGUUGUAAAGCUCUGUUGUAAAGGAAGAAUGUAUAGAAAAGGAAAUGUUUCUAUAGUGACGGUACUUUACUAGAAAGUCACGGCUUACUACGUGCCAGCCGCCGCCGUAA